GUUGUUGGAGAAGAACAGGUGUCAGAGUAACUGUUGACAUCUUGACGGUAUCCAACCAGAAAGCCACGGCUAACUACGUGCCAGCAGCCGCGGUAAUACGUAGGUGGCAAGCGUUGUCCGGAUUUAUUGGGCGUAAAGCGAGCGCAGGCGGUUUCUUAGGUCUGAUGUGAAAGCCUUCGGCUUAACCGGAGAAGUGCAUCGGAAACCAGGAGA
This 213-nucleotide ribosomal RNA is filed under the name Streptococcus sp. KR. Its description in RNAcentral is "partial 16S ribosomal RNA". It matches the Rfam family "Bacterial small subunit ribosomal RNA", at positions 434 to 640 of the family's 1533-position model. Lineage: Bacteria; Bacillati; Bacillota; Bacilli; Lactobacillales; Streptococcaceae. The record is from RNAcentral.